GGUGGAUCAACACAAACAGGACACCAGUCAAUAGCCUUCAUUUCAGACCAAAAUUCUUCUUCUGGCAUAUCAUCAACCAAGUCAGUCAAAAGAUAUUCAAUGUCCAGAGCAUUUUUUAAGUGAUUCUCACCUCUUUCAAGAGAAUUGAGGUACACACCCUCACCAUUUGCAAUACAAUUAUCCUGGCAAACCAAAAUACCCUGCAACUGAUUGCAAUUGCCUUCUU
This 226-nucleotide unclassified non-coding RNA is filed under the name Hevea brasiliensis (rubber tree). Lineage: Eukaryota; Viridiplantae; Streptophyta; Magnoliopsida; Malpighiales; Euphorbiaceae. The record is from RNAcentral.